UACGUAGGGGGCAAGCGUUGUCCGGAAUCAUUGGGCGUAAAGCGCGUGUAGGCGGCCUUGUAAGUCCGUUCUGAAAGCCCGGGGCUCAACCCCGGGAGGCGGAUGGAUACUGCAAGGCUCGAGUACGGAAGAGGCGAGUGGAAUUCCCGGUGUAGCGGUGAAAUGCGCAGAUAUCGGGAGGAACACCAAUGGCGAAGGCAGCUCGCUGGGACGUUACUGACGCUGAGACGCGAAAGCGUGGGGAGCGAACAGG
RNAcentral lists this ribosomal RNA (253 nucleotides) under uncultured bacterium. RNAcentral's name for it is "partial 16S ribosomal RNA". It matches the Rfam family "Bacterial small subunit ribosomal RNA", at positions 524 to 776 of the family's 1533-position model. The record is from RNAcentral.